AUGAUGUAUUAGUCAGAACUGAUUAUAAAGUGAGAUAAGUGUAAAAGUGUGACAGUCUCCAUAUGUUAGUCUUGAAAACAUGAAUCAGUUCAGAUUAGCAAUUCUUUUUAACAUGUAGAAUUGCUUGUACAACACAUGUAUUUCUUAAACAAUAACAAAACCAUACAUUUUCAGUGUUGUGAUAUUUUGUCUAAUGCAAAAGACCAAUAUUGUUCAGAAAUCUCUGUCAGUGUGUCAGGAAUGGUGUAUCUAAAUGAUGUUAAGAACUCUGAGAUUUUGGCACUCAUGAGAUUAAAAUAAAGAUGCCUCAAAUAAGAAAAAAUUAAGAUGUUCUUAAUAUCUUAAUACAAAAAUACUCUUGUAUUUAUAUUCCAUUGUGUACUGAUUUCUUAUAUUUGAGUGUGUGUGUACGUACAAGCUUUGAAAGCGUUUCAAGAAGAUCAUUAUAGUUCACUACAAUGCUUCAGGAAUUUUACAAGAAAAUAUAUAUAACAUUUUAGUGAUUUAUGUUGAAAUAGAAUAUAAUUCACUCAUUUUCAGGUGGAUAAUGAGAAGUAAUGGUUUGAAGCUCUAAAUCUGAUUUGUAAUAUCUGGCUGAUAGUGUGAUAGCAUUGAAAAUUCGAUAAGAUUUAGCUGUUGGUAUAUAAGAAUGAUCAACACAGUUAAAUAUGUUUGGACCUGUUAUAUUUUGAAUGGACCAAUUUUGAGCUUCGCUGCUCAUGAUAAAGAUUAUAUAUCAAGGAUUGAUCAUUUACUUUAUGAUAAAAUAACAAAUCCAGUUCCAGGAGAAGGUGACCAGAUUUUAGAUUCUAUUUAUAUUUUCAAUCAAGCCCUAAAUGAAACUAUUCAGGAUUUUAUGAAUGACCAGACGGGCCAAGACAUAGUGGACAUGUUGGUGGAACAGCAAGGUCCAAUAUGUAUAAAACUAUAUCCAGACGAUCACCACCUCAGGGAUGUGUUCGAUUGGGGAAUUCAAGAACUGGGGGAACUGUAUUAUCUUCUUAAUGCCACAAAAAUGCUAUGGAGAGACUUUCGAUAUUUCCUGGUGACCAAAAUGGGUUAUCAGAUAGAGCCCCUACCACGAUUUUUCACUACAACUGCUAAUUACACUGCCACUUAAAUAUUAUAUUUAUUUGUUUUUAAAAUGAUAAUUUUAUUCAAUCCAUUCAUCUUUUUAAUGGAUACAAUAGGAGUCUUCCCUAUUUGAAUAGUCCAAUAAUAUGAAAAGGAACACUCCUUGGUUCGUUAAUUUAUUUAUUACAUUAGCUUACAGAUCAACAAGUAAAUACAUAAUUAUUCACCAUCCAUUCCCGUAGAAUAAAGCAAGUGAAACUGAAGAUACAUUUUUUGUCCUAGAUGGUUGAGAUAUUUCUGGUGUUUGAUGUCAAAGAUAAGUCCCAAGAACUUCAAAUACCUAGUAUUUCACUUGUACAGAAUACAGAAUGCUUUAUUUACUUGAUUAUGGAAAACAGAAUGGUGUCAAAAAAGAAUAAAAUAUGUUUUGUGAUUUUUACAAUAAACUCAUUUUCUCUGAGAA
Homalodisca vitripennis (glassy-winged sharpshooter) is the source of this 1537-nucleotide RNA transcript. RefSeq lists it as uncharacterized. The transcript has 3 exons. NCBI's taxonomy places the organism in Eukaryota, Metazoa, Arthropoda, Insecta, Hemiptera, Cicadellidae. The record is from RefSeq and is a predicted model, not a curated record.